GCCUCGGUAGCUCAGUUGGUAGAGCAAGGGACUGAAAAUCCCUGUGUCAGCGGUUCGAUUCCACUCUGAGGCACCA
This 76-nucleotide transfer RNA is filed under the name Schwartzia succinivorans. RNAcentral describes it as "tRNA-Phe". It matches the Rfam family "tRNA". Rfam says of the family: Transfer RNA (tRNA) molecules are approximately 80 nucleotides in length. Their secondary structure includes four short double-helical elements and three loops (D, anti-codon, and T loops). Further hydrogen bonds mediate the characteristic L-shaped molecular structure. tRNAs have two regions of fundamental functional importance: the anti-codon, which is responsible for specific mRNA codon recognition, and the 3' end, to which the tRNAs corresponding amino acid is attached (by aminoacyl-tRNA synthetases). tRNAs cope with the degeneracy of the genetic code in two manners: having more than one tRNA (with a specific anti-codon) for a particular amino acid; and 'wobble' base-pairing, i.e. permitting non-standard base-pairing at the 3rd anti-codon position. RNAcentral also lists the same sequence under 2 other names. The record is from RNAcentral. Lineage: Bacteria; Bacillati; Bacillota; Negativicutes; Selenomonadales; Selenomonadaceae.